GCCAGCGUGGCCCAGCGGUUUCAGUAUUGGACUAUGACUCCGGAGAUCCAGGGUUUGAUUCCCAGCUCAGCCA
Molecule: non-coding RNA, 73 nt
Organism: Phrynosoma platyrhinos (Desert horned lizard)
Lineage: Eukaryota; Metazoa; Chordata; Lepidosauria; Squamata; Phrynosomatidae
Source: the annotation of a GenBank genome assembly